Molecule: ribosomal RNA, 527 nt
Filed under: uncultured bacterium
Lineage: Bacteria
Description: bacterial SSU rRNA
Rfam family: Bacterial small subunit ribosomal RNA
Source: RNAcentral
AAUAGAUACCCAGGUAGUCCACGCCGUAAACGAUGUCGACUUGGAGGUUGUUCCCUUGAGGAGUGGCUUCCGGAGCUAACGCGUUAAGUCGACCGCCUGGGGAGUACGGCCGCAAGGUUAAAACUCAAAUGAAUUGACGGGGGCCCGCACAAGCGGUGGAGCAUGUGGUUUAAUUCGAUGCAACGCGAAGAACCUUACCUACUCUUGACAUCCAGAGAACUUUCCAGAGAUGGAUUGGUGCCUUCGGGAACUCUGAGACAGGUGCUGCAUGGCUGUCGUCAGCUCGUGUUGUGAAAUGUUGGGUUAAGUCCCGCAACGAGCGCAACCCUUAUCCUUUGUUGCCAGCGGUUCGGCCGGGAACUCAAAGGAGACUGCCAGUGAUAAACUGGAGGAAGUGGGGAUGACGUCAAGUCAUCAUGGCCCUUACGAGUAGGGCUACACACGUGCUACAAUGGCGUAUACAAAGNGAAGCGACCUCGCGAGAGCAAGCGGACCUCAUAAAAGUACGUCGUAGUCCGGAUUGGAGU